CAUAAGUUAUUCUUCCGUUUGUUUCCAUUUAUAUUUUCAUCUAGCUGCAGCCGUUUCAAAUUUCCCUAUUAAGCAGCAAUGCUAUCAAUUUUUAGAGGCGUUAUUAUUGAGUAAUCAAUGUCGUAUUAAUUUUUAUUUAUGCAGCAUGAUUAAAGAUGAUCUCCUUUCACUUUUCUUUCUUUUGUUAGUAUAGGGUUUUUUUCGUCAUCAUCGACAGACCAGGUAUUUGGAAUUUGAUUGAAUGUUUGGUUCUCUCACAAUAGGGAUUGAUAGAUGAGAUUCAAAUCUCUGGACGAAGGUCCGUGAUUGAUGAGGGCAGAAACAUAAUUUUGCACACUAUCAUAUCCAUCAUCAUCAGAAGUUUAAAACUAGUAAAGGCAGAAACAUUUCAAAUGUAAAUGAAAUGGUGAAGGCGGCAAGAUGUUUUUGCACGGUAUCAUGGUAUUCACAUAAAAUAAUUGUCCAUUUUACAGAUUUUUUUUCAUCAUGAAAUCUAAAAUCUGGAUGUGUAUGUUACUGAUAGUUUUGGUGUUAGAUUUCCUUCUCCCAUAUUUAAUGGCUUCUUUUUUGCUAUUUCGCUUAUCAUACAUAAUGGAUGGGGAAAUUCCAUAGGAAACAGGACUUGAUAGAUGUUGUUGAUGUAUGUUUUAGUUAUUCUGUUUAAAUCAUGGAAAAACUACCUAACUGUAGAUAUAGGUGAUCUUUGUUUUGCAUAGUCACCAGAAUCUGUUAUCAUUGCACAACAUUGCGAACUCAGUGACUGCUUGACCUUGGCUAGGUUUAUCAGAUAGUUGGACAUUCUAAUAUAUUCACGGUGAUUUGGGACUUCCCCACCUCUCAGCUUUCACUUAUUUUAUUUUUUAUAAUGGGAUCGUCUGUGUAGGCAUUAUUUCCACAUUUCUAUUUAUUCUGAUCAAUCUUUUCGCUUUGGUUUGGUGAAACUAUUUGUUAUCAUCCGUAUAUGAUCAUUAUUUAGUCAUGUCUUCCAAAUUGCUAAAUAUAGAGCAUUAUUUAAGUAUUUUAUAUAUUCACGGCUACUUAUUUGACCACCAUACUCGCCUGAUUACAUAUUUUUGUGCAUGUCUUUUACGCAUUUUGUUUUGUCCCAUCCUUCUAACCUGUCUCAGGUGGUGCAAUGCCUUCGCAGUUAUGUAGGUACUAUUUUUAUGACUUGAGGAUGCCCACUAUUGCAGAACAAGAACAAUUUCAAAAUGACCUUCAAUUGAAUCUCCUUGGUGAUGUAACAUUUUAAACUCAAGAUGGCGUAUUGGUUGGUGUAUUAUUUGUUAUCUGGGUCACAAGAGAUAAAGCUUCCUUGCGCCAUUUACACUAAAUAUAUAUAUUUUUUUGUCGGUCUAUGGUGAAAUGAAGUAGGGAUGUAACGAAAAGUGUAGUUUAAAUUGGGGAAACAAUUUUUUUUUUUAAAUCAUGCGAAACGAAGAGUUUGAAUGUCGUGCGAAUAAUUAUAUGUGUAGAUGGGGAAAAACGAUUUGCUGAUUUUUACGGAAUCGAGGAGAUGACCGUGAGGAGGGGACUCCUUGAACCGAGCAAAUGCGCAACCUUA
Molecule: long non-coding RNA, 1564 nt
Organism: Papaver somniferum (opium poppy)
Lineage: Eukaryota; Viridiplantae; Streptophyta; Magnoliopsida; Ranunculales; Papaveraceae
Exons: 3
Source: RefSeq, a predicted model, not a curated record